AAAUGAGAAAUGAUGAAUCAUGAUUAAUUUCGACUUAAUUUUAGGUGUGUACGCCCUCAUUUU
RNAcentral lists this transfer RNA (63 nucleotides) under Rhynchothorax sp. JZ-2022. RNAcentral describes it as "tRNA-Arg". The record is from RNAcentral. Lineage: Eukaryota; Metazoa; Arthropoda; Pycnogonida; Pantopoda; Tanystylidae.